UUUUGUUUUCUUCUUUAUUAGCAGAAUGAAUAGAUGAAUAGAACUGUCCGUAUAUUAAGAAAAGAGACAAAAUGGUGUUUACCGUCUAUAAACAUUAUAUGUGCAUGCUCUCGUUCAGUUUACGGCCAUACCACACUGAACACAGGUGUGCUGAUUGGUGAGCUGAUUGGUGUGAUAGUGAGUAGGAAGAGACAGGUGGACUGAGUAGGAGUGCUUCAGACCUGUGCUUUUUCGUUAAUCUUUAUACAGGCUUAGACCUCUGUUUUUUGUUUCUUUUUGUUUUAGUGGAAAGUUUCUUGCCCCCCUAACAUCUUUUGGUGUUAGGGGAGGAGUGUUUUCCUUUCCUUUGUUAUUUUCAAACAGUAAAAUGGCAGAGGACCAUGGGAAUGACAAAGAGAAAUCAAGCAGAUGCGGAGAGGACGGUACAGAAGGAAGAAGAAGCGAAAGAUACAGUCGGGAGCUCACUGUGAGAGUUGUGACUGAAGGAGAGGAAGAUAUUUCUACGAUGGACAUCCUGAAAAUAAUAAGAAAAGAGUGUGGUGUGGCGCUGGGAUGCAGAGCGCGCGGUGACUGCAAAUUGGAGAUUACAAUGGAGACAGGAGAGGGGAAGAAGAAGUUAACAGAUGGGCUAAAGUAUAGAGGCACGUCAAUCAUUGGAUAUAACAUGAACAAUGACGAAAUGGUGGUUUUUUUUUUUUAAUCUGCAUGUUGAAGAUGGGCAGAUAUUUGUCCGGCUAAAGGAGUGGGGAGUUGGAGCUGCCUCUGAAAUCAGGAGAAGGAAGUGGCCGGGAACAGACGUGGUGGACGGGACACGCUACUUAAAAGUGAAGUUUACAGAGGAGUUGAAUGGAAGGAUGGGAACAUUUCCGUGUUGUUAAUGAUCGACAGGAGAGAGUGUGCCGUAUGUGCAUGAAGCCUGGACACAUUUUACGUGAAUGCCCGGAGCUAAGAUGUGUGUGUGGAGAGCAAGGACAUUUUGCAAGGGAGUGGGUAGCGCGCAGAGAGGGGGAGAGCGUGGCUGGGGGGAGAGAGUGCCCAACGAGAAAAUACAACGGGAAAACAAAGCAGGAAUGAAGAGGAGCAGGAGGAAGAGGUAGCUAGAAUGGAGAGGAUAAGAAGAAAGCGGAGGAGCGGCGUGCAGUGUGAGAGGUGUGGAUGUUCCGGGUACUACAGCUGCUGCGGUGAAGGUUGGAGGUGCUGGUGGAGGAGCUUGCGGUGGGAAAGGUGGAGGAGCGGGAAGCUGGAGACGAUGGAGGCAGCGAGGUCGGAGACGGCGGGGGAGGAGCUGAUGGGGUUGAGGGGCGCUAUUCGGACGUGUCUGAGGUGGAGGAGGAGCGUGAUGAUGGAGACUAUGGGGAAGCUGAGGACGACGAUGAGGAUGAUGACGAGGCUGAUGAGGACGAGAUGGAGGUGGAGGGACAUCUAGAGGGGGAGAGCGUUGGUGAGCCGAAGGCGAUGGCAAGGAGCAGAGGAAAACAGAGAGAAGAGGCUCCUUUCUUGGAGAAGAGGGUGUCCAGUAGGAUUACUGCAAAGAGGAAAGCCGAGAAAACGAGAAACGUGCAGAAAAGAAAUAGGCUGGGUUCCAGAGUAGACGGAGAUCCCUCCGUGAGCCACGACGCAAUGCCUCAGGACAGCCGGAGAGCAACAGAGCGCAGAGGAGAGCGACCUGUCAGCUGUGACUCGAAAGUACCAUUAACUGUGUGAGCCAGAAGGCAGUGGCAAAUAAAGCUGUGUGUGACACUA
Cottoperca gobio is the source of this 1743-nucleotide long non-coding RNA. RefSeq lists it as uncharacterized. The transcript has 2 exons. NCBI's taxonomy places the organism in Eukaryota, Metazoa, Chordata, Actinopteri, Perciformes, Bovichtidae. The record is from RefSeq and is a predicted model, not a curated record.